Molecule: small nuclear RNA, 166 nt
Organism: Pomacea canaliculata
Lineage: Eukaryota; Metazoa; Mollusca; Gastropoda; Architaenioglossa; Ampullariidae
Product: U1 spliceosomal RNA
Exons: 1
Source: RefSeq, a predicted model, not a curated record
AUGUUUACUUGGCAUGGGAUGUACCCUAAUCAGCAAGAAGGUCCUCCCAGGGUGAGGCCUGUCCAUUGUAAUUUGGAUGAGUUGACCCCUGCGAUCUAUUCUAUAUAUUCCUGCUUAAAACGUAGGCUGAUCUACCUCAAAUUCACUGUAAAAAGUCUAAUGCCAC